CAGGACGACGCUGGCGGCGUGCCUAAUACAUGCAAGUCAACGGCUUUUCUACGGAAGCUUGCUUCCACUGAGAAGAUAGUGGCGAACGGGUGAGUAACACGUGGGUAACCUGCCCAUAAGAGGGGGAUAACAUCCGGAAACGGGUGCUAAUACCGCAUAGUUUUCUUGAUCGCAUGAUUGAGAAAGGGAAGACGGCCUUUGUGCUGUCGCUUAUGGAUGGACCCGCGGCGUAUUAGUUAGUUGGUGAGGUAACGGCUCACCAAGACGAUGAUACGUAGCCGACCUGAGAGGGUGAUCGGCCACAUUGGGACUGAGACACGGCCCAAACUCCUACGGGAGGCAGCAGUAGGGAAUCUUCCGCAAUGGACGAAAGUCUGACGGAGCAACGCCGCGUGAGUGAAGAAAGGUUUUCGGAUCGUAAAACUCUGUUGUCAGAGAAGAACAAGUUGGAGAGUAACUGCUCCAGCCUUGACGGUAUCUGACCAGAAAGCCACGGCUAACUACGUGCCAGCCGCCGC
Molecule: ribosomal RNA, 518 nt
Filed under: uncultured bacterium
Lineage: Bacteria
Description: bacterial SSU rRNA
Rfam family: Bacterial small subunit ribosomal RNA
Source: RNAcentral